UCCUACGGGGGGCAGCAGUGGGGGAUAUUGCACAAUGGGGGGAACCCUGAUGCAGCGACGCCGCGUGAGUGAAGAAGUAAUUCGUUAUGUAAAGCUCUAUCAGCAGGGAAGAAUAAAUGACGGUACCUGAGUAAGAAGCCCCGGCUAACUACGUGCCAGCAGCCGCGGUAAUACGUAGGGGGCAAGCGUUAUCCGGAUUUACUGGGUGUAAAGGGAGCGUAGACGGCAUUGCAAGUCUGAUGUGAAAGAUUGGGGCUCAACCCCAGGCCUGCAUUGGAAACUGUAAAGCUGGAGUACAGGAGAGG
This 305-nucleotide ribosomal RNA is filed under the name uncultured bacterium. RNAcentral describes it as "bacterial SSU rRNA". It matches the Rfam family "Bacterial small subunit ribosomal RNA", at positions 337 to 657 of the family's 1533-position model. The record is from RNAcentral.